RNAcentral lists this ribosomal RNA (306 nucleotides) under Triticum aestivum (bread wheat). RNAcentral describes it as "partial small subunit ribosomal RNA". The record is from RNAcentral. Lineage: Eukaryota; Viridiplantae; Streptophyta; Magnoliopsida; Poales; Poaceae.
AUGUCUUCACCGCCGCCAAGCCCGUCUCUUCUGCAGCCAGUCACCUCGUCGCCUCCGGCGACCACCACGACCGUCGCCCCGCUCCUGCCCACGCCGAGAUCCUCCCUCGCGCUCGCCCCCACCGUCCUCACCCUGGAGGAGGUGUCUGGGGUGCUGCGGGACCUAACCCAGGCGGUCCAGGAGAUCCACCUGUUCUUGGCCGGGUCCUACGGGCCGCACCCGGCUGCGCCGCCCAUCGCCGCCCCUGCGCUGCCGUGGCUGCUGUGGCAGCCGCCUGAUGUCUACUACACAACCUUCUUCUUGUAG